This 441-nucleotide ribosomal RNA is filed under the name uncultured bacterium. RNAcentral's name for it is "partial 16S ribosomal RNA". It matches the Rfam family "Bacterial small subunit ribosomal RNA", at positions 339 to 795 of the family's 1533-position model. The record is from RNAcentral.
CUACGGGCUGCACCAGUGGGGAAUAUUGGGCAAUGGGCGCAAGCCUGACCCAGCAACGCCGCGUGAGGGAAGAAGGUUUUCGGAUUGUAAACCUCUGUCCUUGGGGACGAAGAAGUGACGGUACCCAAGGAGGAAGCUCCGGCUAACUACGUGCCAGCAGCCGCGGUAAUACGUAGGGAGCAAGCGUUGUCCGGAAUUACUGGGCGUAAAGGGUGCGUAGGCGGCAUAUUAAGUCAGGUGUGAAAUACUCGGGCUCAACCCGGGGGCUGCAUUUGAAACUGAUAUGCUUGAGUGUGAGAGAGGAAAGUGGAAUUCCUAGUGUAGCGGUGGAAUGCGUAGAUAUUAGGAGGAACACCAGUGGCGAAGGCGACUUUCUGGCUCAUAACUGAUGCUGAGGCACGAAAGCGUGGGGAGCAAACAGGAUUAGAUACCCUAGUAGUC